This 1080-nucleotide ribosomal RNA is filed under the name Hansarsia megalops. RNAcentral's name for it is "partial 28S ribosomal RNA". It matches the Rfam family "Eukaryotic large subunit ribosomal RNA", at positions 1306 to 1924 of the family's 3401-position model. Lineage: Eukaryota; Metazoa; Arthropoda; Malacostraca; Euphausiacea; Euphausiidae. The record is from RNAcentral.
CUAGCCCUGAAACUGGAUGGCGCUCAAGCGUCCUCCCGAUACUCGACCGUCGGGGCAGUAACGGCCCUCGCGGGUCUCGAAGCCCCGACGAGUAGGAGGGUCGUGGCGGUGAGCGUUGAAGGGACCUGCGUGAGCAGGCCUGGAGCCGCCGCUAGUGCAGAUCUUGGUGGUAGUAGCAAAUACUCGAGUGAGAUCCUUGAGGACUGACCGUGGAGAAGGGUUCCAUGUGAACAUCAGUUGAACAUGGGUUAGUCGGUCCUAAGCCUCAGCCGAAAGGCGUCUCAGCGCUGGCAAGGUGUCAAUCCCAAACUCUCUGGAGGCCCGUAAAAAAGGCCGACGGAGGGGACGCCCGGGCGACCGCACCCGAGACGCACGGGCACUACCAGGCCUCUUUCCUCGCCCCUCGGGGCGUAGGUGGCCGGCCCGGACGCAGUAGGGCACGGUCCGAGAUGGCGUCCUGUUUCCUCCCCCUCGCGGGGGAGGGUCAGGCGUUUGCCGAUCAGCCGUUGUAGAUUUGUAGGCGAAAGGGAAUCUGGUACUUAUUCCAAAACCUCGUCCCGGAUAAAACGUCCCCGAGCGCUCGCGCGAGGGUAUAACGGUCCUGGUAACGGGAAUGACCCUGCAUACACUGGCGGCGGUCCGGGGAAGAGUUUUCUUUUCUGUUUAAGACUCCGUGACCCUGGAAGCUACUCGCAAGGCGAUAGGGUCGUGGUAGCGUAGAGCGCCGCGGUUCUUGCGGCGUCCCGUGCGCCGUCGUCGGUCCUUGAAAAUGCAGGCGAGGGCGGAAACCCAAGGUCGCAGCACUACGUGCACCCGUUGCAUGGAAGUUGCCUCCGACGGGGUAGUAAGCUCUCUGACGUCGACUGGUACCAAGGAAGAGAGAUGGAACCUCGCGUUCCGCUCCGAUCCCGUAACACCAGAUCUCCUGUCCGGUCACGUUGGCGGAGUGAGGGACCCUCGCGGUCCCUCUCACCCCUUCACGGACUUUCGGGCGAGCCCGUACCCAUAUCCGCAGCAGGUCUCCAAGGUGAAUAGCCUCUAGUCGAUAGAUUAAUGUAGGUAAGGGAAGUCGGCAAAUUA